GGUGUCCUACGGGGCGCAGCAGUGGGGAAUAUUGCACAAUGGGCGCAAGCCUGAUGCAGCGACGCCGCGUGCGGGAUGGAGGCCUUCGGGUUGUAAACCGCUUUUGUUCAAGGGCAAGGCACGGUCUUUGGCCGUGUUGAGUGGAUUGUUCGAAUAAGCACCGGCUAACUACGUGCCAGCAGCCGCGGUAAUACGUAGGGUGCAAGCGUUAUCCGGAUUUAUUGGGCGUAACGGGCUCGUAGGCGGUUCGUCGCGUCCGGUGUGAAUGUUCAU
RNAcentral lists this ribosomal RNA (273 nucleotides) under uncultured bacterium. RNAcentral's name for it is "partial 16S ribosomal RNA". It matches the Rfam family "Bacterial small subunit ribosomal RNA", at positions 333 to 605 of the family's 1533-position model. The record is from RNAcentral.